Molecule: ribosomal RNA, 258 nt
Filed under: uncultured bacterium
Lineage: Bacteria
Description: partial 16S ribosomal RNA
Rfam family: Bacterial small subunit ribosomal RNA
Source: RNAcentral
UGGCGGACGGGUGAGUAACGCGUGGAGAACCUGCCGUAUACUGGGGGAUAACACUUAGAAAUAGGUGCUAAUACCGCAUAAGCGCACAGCUUCGCAUGAAGCGGUGUGAAAAACUCUGGUGGUAUACGAUGGUUCCGCGUCUGAUUAGCUAGUUGGUGGGGUAAUGGCCUACCAAGGCAACGAUCAGUAGCCGGCCUGAGAGGGUGAACGGCCACAUUGGGACUGAGACACGGCCCAAACUCCUACGGGAGGCAGCAG